UACGUAGGGGGGCAAGCGUUGUCCGGAAUCAUUGGGCGUAAAGAGCGCGUAGGCGGUCCGGUAAGUCGGUUGUGAAAAACUGGGGGGCUCAACCCUCAGAGGCCGACCGAUACUGCCGGGCUAGAGUCCGGAAGAGGCGAGUGGAAUUCCUGGUGUAGCGGUGAAAUGCGCAGAUAUCAGGAGGAACACCAAUGGCGAAGGCAGCUCGCUGGGACGGUACUGACGCUGAGGCGCGAAAGCGUGGGGAGCAAACAGG
RNAcentral lists this ribosomal RNA (256 nucleotides) under uncultured bacterium. RNAcentral describes it as "partial 16S ribosomal RNA". It matches the Rfam family "Bacterial small subunit ribosomal RNA", at positions 524 to 776 of the family's 1533-position model. The record is from RNAcentral.